RNAcentral lists this ribosomal RNA (1251 nucleotides) under metagenome. RNAcentral describes it as "bacterial LSU rRNA". It matches the Rfam family "Bacterial large subunit ribosomal RNA", at positions 1634 to 2877 of the family's 2925-position model. The record is from RNAcentral.
AUAUACGACCGUACCGCAAACCGACACUGGUGCGCGAGAUGAGUAUUCUAAGGCGCUUGAGAGAACUCAGGAGAAGGAACUCGGCAAAUUGACACCGUAACUUCGGAAGAAGGUGUGCCCUAUUAGUGUGUAGUGAACAACGAAGCAUGAAUGGGUUGCAAAAAAUCGGUGGCUGCGACUGUUUAUUAAAAACACAGCACUCUGCAAACACGAAAGUGGACGUAUAGGGUGUGACGCCUGCCCGGUGCUGGAAGAUUAAAUGAUGGGGUGCAAGCUCUUGAUUGAAGUCCCAGUAAACGGCGGCCGUAACAAUAACGGUCCUAAGGUAGCGAAAUUCCUUGUCGGGUAAGUUCCGACCUGCACGAAUGGCGUAACGAUGGCCACACUGUCUCCUCCUGAGACUCAGCGAAGUUGAAAUGUUUGUGAUGAUGCAAUCUCCCCGCGGAAAGACGGAAAGACCCCAUGAACCUUUACUGUAGCUUUGUAUUGGACUUUGAACAGAUCUGUGUAGGAUAGGUGGGAGGCUUUGAAGCAGGGUCGCUAGAUCUUGUGGAGCCAACGUUGAAAUACCACCCUGGUGUGUUUGAGGUUCUAACCUAGGUCCAUUAUCUGGAUCGGGGACAGUGCAUGGUAGGCAGUUUGACUGGGGCGGUCUCCUCCCAAAGCGUAACGGAGGAGUUCGAAGGUACGCUAGUUACGGUCGGACAUCGUGACGAUAGUGCAAUGGCAUAAGCGUGCUUAACUGCGAGACUGACAAGUCGAGCAGAUGCGAAAGCAGGACAUAGUGAUCCGGUGGUUCUGUAUGGAAGGGCCAUCGCUCAACGGAUAAAAGGUACUCUGGGGAUAACAGGCUGAUACCGCCCAAGAGUUCAUAUCGACGGCGGUGUUUGGCACCUCGAUGUCGGCUCAUCUCAUCCUGGGGCUGUAGCCGGUCCCAAGGGUAUGGCUGUUCGCCAUUUAAAGAGGUACGUGAGCUGGGUUUAAAACGUCGUGAGACAGUUUGGUCCCUAUCUUCCGUGGGCGCUGCAGAUUUGAGGAAGCCUGCUCCUAGUACGAGAGGACCGGAGUGGACACACCUCUGGUGUAUCGGUUGUCACGCCAGUGGCAUUGCCGAGUAGCUAAGUGUGGAAGAGAUAACCGCUGAAAGCAUCUAAGCGGGAAACUCGUUUCAAGAUGAGAUCUGCCGGGGCCUUGAGCCCCCUAAAGAGUCGUUCAAGACCAGGACGUUGAUAGGUCAGGUGUGGAACCAAA